GGGCUCGUAGUUCAGUGGUAGAACGUUCGCUUAGCAUCCUUCCAAGGUUGCUUCUAAUGUGCGAGAGGUCCGGGGUUCGAUUCCCCGUGAGUCCA
Hypoxylon trugodes is the source of this 95-nucleotide non-coding RNA. The record is from the annotation of a RefSeq genome assembly. Lineage: Eukaryota; Fungi; Ascomycota; Sordariomycetes; Xylariales; Hypoxylaceae.